GACGAACGCUGGCGGCGUGCUUAACACAUGCAAGUCGAACGGAAAGGCCCUGCUUUUGUGGGGUGCUCGAGUGGCGAACGGGUGAGUAACACGUGAGUAACCUGCCCUUGACUUUGGGAUAACUUCAGGAAACUGGGGCUAAUACCGGAUAGGAGCUCCUGCUGCAUGGUGGGGGUUGGAAAGUUUCGGCGGUUGGGGAUGGACUCGCGGCUUAUCAGCUUGUUGGUGGGGUAGUGGCUUACCAAGGCUUUGACGGGUAGCCGGCCUGAGAGGGUGACCGGCCACAUUGGGACUAAGAUACGGCCCAGACUCCUACGGGAGGCAGCAGUGGGGAAUAUUGCACAAUGGGCGGAAGCCUGAUGCAGCAACGCCGCGUGCGGGAUGACGGCCUUCGGGUUGUAAACCGCUUUCGCCUGUGACGAAGCGUGAGUGACGGUAAUGUGUAAAGAAGCACCGGCUAACUACGUG
Molecule: ribosomal RNA, 468 nt
Filed under: uncultured bacterium
Lineage: Bacteria
Description: partial 16S ribosomal RNA
Rfam family: Bacterial small subunit ribosomal RNA
Source: RNAcentral